UACCUGGUUGAUCCAGUCAGUAGUCUAAUACUUGUCUCA
Molecule: ribosomal RNA, 39 nt
Filed under: Ourisia serpyllifolia
Lineage: Eukaryota; Viridiplantae; Streptophyta; Magnoliopsida; Lamiales; Plantaginaceae
Description: partial 18S ribosomal RNA
Source: RNAcentral